RNAcentral lists this ribosomal RNA (465 nucleotides) under uncultured bacterium. RNAcentral's name for it is "partial 16S ribosomal RNA". It matches the Rfam family "Bacterial small subunit ribosomal RNA", at positions 28 to 507 of the family's 1533-position model. The record is from RNAcentral.
GACGAACGCUGGCGGCGUGCUUAACACAUGCAAGUCGAACGGAAAGGCCCUGCUUGCAGGGUACUCGAGUGGCGAACGGGUGAGUAACACGUGGGUGAUCUGCCCUGCACUUCGGGAUAAGCCUGGGAAACUGGGUCUAAUACCGGAUAGGAGCCAUUUUUAGUGUGAUGGUUGGAAAGUUUUUUCGGUGUAGGAUGAGCUCGCGGCCUAUCAGCUUGUUGGUGGGGUAAUGGCCUACCAAGGCGGCGACGGGUAGCCGGCCUGAGAGGGUGGACGGCCACAUUGGGACUGAGAUACGGCCCAGACUCCUACGGGAGGCAGAAGUGGGGAAUAUUGCACAAGGGGCGCAAGCCUGAUGCAGCGACGCCGCAGGGGGGAUGACGGCCUUCGGGUUGUAAACUCCUUUCGCUAGGGACGAAGCUUUUUGUGACGGUACCUAGAUAAGAAGCACCGGCUAACUACGUG